Long non-coding RNA from Nothoprocta perdicaria, 1836 nucleotides. RefSeq lists it as uncharacterized. The transcript is spliced from 4 exons. NCBI's taxonomy places the organism in Eukaryota, Metazoa, Chordata, Aves, Tinamiformes, Tinamidae. The record is from RefSeq and is a predicted model, not a curated record.
ACUGCAAUUCCUACUUAUGGGUAAUGAAAUCACCUUGAAGAAGAGCUUUGAAAAUGGUACCCAUAAUUUCCUUUCCAUCAGCACUCAACAAAUUCUCCAGCUGCUCCCAUCACGUUCCAGACCUCUUCGCAUGUUCCUGAGCAACGCAAGGAUGCUACUACCUACUUUUAGGUCCAGCAUUUGCUUCUGUUCUUCUGACCACGUGUGCUUAUCACUGUUUAUCACUGGGAGACAUGGCGGACUUACCAGAGGGUACUGCAAGGAGCAAACAACAGACAAACAAGUGAUGACCAAGCAUAAAGCAGCCGAACCUUGAGCAUGCAGGUACAGGAGUACAGAAGAGAGAAAUCACAGAGAAGGAGUAAAGCAGACAUGAUGAGCUCUCCACCUAGACUCUGGAUUUCUGCUUUAACUUGACUGCAUAUUUUGAGCUGAUGGGAGUACAGCUUGAUCUGUUCUAGGUGCAACUCUGCAGUCUGAAUUCCCGGUUUUCCUGAUAUAGCAGCAGAACAGCAGAGUCAGAAAGCCACCAGCUCAGAUUAACUCCUUUUCUCCACAUAUUAAAGUCACAAAAGUCCAUUAAACCUAUUUUUCCCCAGCCAGUAGACAGAUUCUUACCUGUUUUAUAUAUACUAGUAUUUUGUUUGUCAAGCUUUAAGUAUGGGGAAAAAACCACUUUGCUUAGUACUCUGUUUCACCAAUUUGUAAAUCUCACUGUGUGGAUUAUUUUUGACCUGUAUACUUCGUUCUUCUGUCUUUUUAUAUCUCCAUGUAGAUACUUGUGGAUCUGUUUUGGCUCCUUUCAUGAAAGAUGUAAUGCAUCUCUUCCUCACACUUCACUAUUUUCAAGCACGAAAGCCUUAUCAGGACUACGCGAACAAAACCAAGACACAUAAUGUUAUAUUUAUGAGCAAUUGCUCAUAAUGCCCCCAGGGUAGCAACAGGUAGUUUCUCGAAAGGUAUAAAGCUGGGAUAGGCUAGCAUUGGUGUUACACAGAGGGUUUUCAAAAACUGCCAAAAUGCGAAAGUCUCUUCAUCUCCUUAUUUUUGCCUCACACCAUGAAUAACAGUGCAUCUGUGCAGCAGUGCCAUUCCUGUCUGUGCAUUGUCCUAAACUACAGGCAUCAGUGUCAGGCGUGCCUUUUUUUUUCUUUGGCUUUUUUUUUUUCUUUACACUGAAAAUUUCACUCUGAAGGUUAACUGCAACUUUUGUUCUCCUCUAUUAAGCAAAAUACAGAGCUAAAGCGAGUUAGCACAGGAGCAGUGCAAAAGUUCAACCUUUUCCUUAUGAGUUGAAUUGGCAAAAUGCAAACUAAACUUCUCACUUCUCCUGAUCUGGAGAAGAAGGAUAAAAUAACUGUGGCUACAAGAGUAUUGAAAGUGAAGGCCUGUGCAAUAAUCUCAUCAGCAGUUAAACUCUUUACUACACUGUGGUAGCUCAAUGUGAGUUGGCAAGCACUGCUCUUCAAAACAAUUUUCAUAUCAAUACAUGCUUGCAUCAGCCCCUUCUGUUUUGGGGCAGAUUCUGCCAUCUAGAUAAUUCACUGCUGAGCUCAUGUUGCGAUUCUCUUAUCUAGGUCAUCCCUCUCUUCCCAGCUCCCCUGCGUGCUCACCAGCUUUGCAAAAUAAAUAAAGCUUUAUUAUUAAGCAUUUAGAAUGCUCUAUUGYGGGAGAGCCUUAUCAUUUAUCUCUGCUUCUCACUUUUUUCCUCUGUAUUUUGCAGUCUGUGAGCAAAUAGAGCAAUCAAUUUUUUCUUAGCUAUUAUCUUUUUAAUACAUCAUACAGAAAGCAGAUUUUCAAAAGUCUUUACCUUCUAUCAGCUUAAAUUCUUAUAGC